UACCCACUGCACCCAGGCACCUCAGCUCGGAUCAGGGAGAAUUGGUGGAAUCCUGGUUAGCGUUUCAGGGCCGGCCCCGUUUUCCUCAGCACAGCUUCAGCAGCUCUCGGAUCCUCUGCUGUGUGCGGUUCAGCUGUGUUUGUCAUCUGGAAGCAGAUAAGUUGCAGCCAGUGGAAGUUUAUGAUCUCCAUCAAUUGAUGACUUCAAGGUAACAGGACAGCCUGGAAGCAGAAAGGAAGCUACUUUUUACCAGAGGCAUCAAGGUGGCAUGCUGUUAGAGGCGGAGCUUAUUUCUCAUGACUAAAAUGGAAUAAGAAGAGGAAUGUGAUCUCUCAGCUUCCUGCUUUGGCCACCAUACCUUCUGGCUGCCAUGCCUUCCUGGUAUGAUGAACUCUUAUCUGUCUGGAAUGAAAGAAAAAAGGAUGAAACACCAAUGAAGACAAGUAGCCCAACUGAUCCAGCCUCCCAGAAUGCUUCUGUUGCAGCUUCCUCAAAAUUCUGCAUCCAGAACAACUUUAAAGCUGCUAGCUAAGAUGGUCCAACCUUGUAGACUGUACAGCCAAGACUUCAGGAGCUCCAGGCUGCUGAACAUCACAUGUGUGACUCGCUUCUGCCAUCUUUCCUUCCAAUUUUGCGAGUCCACUUUUUAAAAACAUCACCUGCAGCCACCCUUACCCAACCCUUUUUACGUGGGUUCUUGGGAGAUCAAACUCAGACCUGUGUGCGUGCAGGUUUGAAGGUGGAAAAGCAAGAGAGAAUGAACCUGAUUCUGCAGCCCCUUUUUAAAAUAACAUUGAUCCACACCUGAGAUACCGGAGAUGGAGACCGAAACACAUCCUCAAAGACCGAUCUCAAGUAGCACUUCACUGGGGAUUUAGUUUCCAAUGAGCCUGGGAUUUGAAGUCAAAUGGAUUUGUGAGUUUAAAUCCUGUCCAAAUUAUCAUCAGAUACAACAUAUUGGACAUAUCAGUCCUUCCCUCUCAAUCUCAUUUUAAAAUUCUUCUGGGACUUUAUGAUGGACAGAGGUAAAACAGGGGAGAGAGUUAGUUCUCCAACUGCUUCUCCAGACUGUCUCCUUGCACUUAUUUUUA
Molecule: long non-coding RNA, 1091 nt
Organism: Peromyscus californicus insignis
Lineage: Eukaryota; Metazoa; Chordata; Mammalia; Rodentia; Cricetidae
Exons: 7
Source: RefSeq, a predicted model, not a curated record